RNAcentral lists this ribosomal RNA (399 nucleotides) under uncultured bacterium. RNAcentral's name for it is "bacterial SSU rRNA". It matches the Rfam family "Bacterial small subunit ribosomal RNA", at positions 509 to 906 of the family's 1533-position model. The record is from RNAcentral.
CAGCAGCCGCGGUAAUACAGAGGGUGCAAACGUUGUUCGGAAUUACUGGGCGUAAAGCGCGUGUAGGCGGCUAUGUAAGUCGGGCGUGAAAUCCCACGGCUCAACCGUGGAAGUGCACCCGAAACUGCGUAGCUAGAGUCCUGGAGAGGAAGGUGGAAUGCUUGGUGUAGAGGUGAAAUUCGUAGAUAUCAAGCGGAACACCGGUGGCGAAGGCGGCCUUCUGGACAGUGACUGACGCUGAGACGCGAAAGCGUGGGGAGCAAACAGGAUUAGAUACCCUGGUAGUCCACGCCGUAAACGAUGAGUGCUAGGUGUCACGGGCUUUGACCCUCGUGGUGCCGAAGCUAACGCGUUAAGCACUCCGCCUGGGGAGUACGGCCGCAAGGCUAAAACUCAAAG